CUACGGGGCGCAACAGUGGGGAAUAUUGGACAAUGGGGGAAACCCUGAUCCAGCAAUGCCGCGUGUGUGAAGAAGGCCUGCGGGUUGUAAAGCACUUUCGGUUGGGAGGACUGCUUCUAGCACUAAUAUUGUUGGAAGUUGACGUUACCUUCAGAAGAAGCACCGGCUAACUCCGUGCCAGCAGCCGCGGUAAUACGGGAGGGUGCAAGCGUUAAUCGGAAUUACUGGGCGCAAAGCGCGCGUAGGCGGCUAGAUCAGUCGGGUGUGAAAGCCCCGGGCUUAACCUGGGAACUGCAUCCGAUACUGUCUAGCUUGAGUACAGGAGAGGAGAGUGGAAUUCCACAUGUAGCGGUGAAAUGCGUAGAUAUGUGGAGGAACACCAAUGGCGAAGGCAGCUCUCUGGCCUGAUACUGACGCUGAGGUGCGAAAGCGUGGGGAGCAAACAGGAUUAGAUACCCGGGUAGUC
This 466-nucleotide ribosomal RNA is filed under the name uncultured bacterium. Its description in RNAcentral is "partial 16S ribosomal RNA". It matches the Rfam family "Bacterial small subunit ribosomal RNA", at positions 339 to 795 of the family's 1533-position model. The record is from RNAcentral.